AGGAGGUAAAGGAGGAGCAGCAGCGCCUGCAGCAGCUGGUGGAGAGGAGAAGAAAGCUGCCGGAGGAGGAGGAGCAAAAGGAGGUGGAGACAAACCCAAGGGAGGAGAGAAGGGGGGGAAGAAAGGUGGCAAGAAGUGAUGUUGGUCCCCACAAUGUCACCACAGUAACAGCCAGGUAGCUCUGGCCGUCUCGUGACACAUUCUGGCCUGACUCACUGUGUAUUAUAUCUCACUGCGGUUUAUAAUAGACACAUACUCUCAGUACCGUACUUUCCUUGUUUAUAUGUGUGUAUUUUACUGUACAAAAUGGUGAACAAACUAGUAUUUUAAUGCCUUCUGUGUUCUUUUAUUCUCUACAAGUGGAUUUUUGUUAUUUCUCUUAAAUAAUGGUGUUGUUUAGUAGGUGUUAAACGUUUAGUUGUCUGGUAGUAAUUAGCAUAAGAUUACAUUUCUCAACUCAUACUUACUUGAAACAUAAAGAUCAUGAGUCUUAAUAAUUAAACUUUACAAGGUUAUUUAAUCGUCUGUUGAAAAACUAAUUACAAAGGAUUUUUAGCACAAAAUGAGGAACAUUGUUAUUACCGUAUACUUUUAUAGCAUUUAGAAAAUAGUCUAUAAAAAACACAAAAUUUAUACGUUUAAAUAACAGUGUACUUUUAAAAUACACAAAUUAAUCUUACACAAUUACCAAUGUUAAGGGUUUUAAAUCUUUACAAUUCAACAAUAACUUACAACAUAAAUUCAUUUAUUUAUUUGUGAUAAGGAAAGCUAUCAACAUACUGUUGUUGCAUGUUUCAUCAGCAGACCAUCAUUGUUUUCUAGGUAGAACUUUAGAUCUGUGUAUAGUAAAAAUAUAUGUAUAUUUGUGUUAUGUUAUAUAGAGAGAUUCUAAUUUGUUAAGUUUGUAUUAUUGUAUUAGUUUGUUCUAGUUAUAAUUCCAUAGUGUCAUUUCAGGUUUUAAAUAAAAAGAAAGAAAUAUAACUGUCUCAAAUGCAAAUACUAUUUUAAUAUCUUGCAUACUGUUUUAUAAGAAACUACUGACCUCUGUUAGUUGAUAUUUUAACUUCUGACCACCAGAAUUGAAAAAAUUUAUUUCUUAUAACCAAUAAAUCAAUACUAUAUUUUUAGUGUA
Long non-coding RNA from Homalodisca vitripennis (glassy-winged sharpshooter), 1132 nucleotides. RefSeq lists it as uncharacterized. Lineage: Eukaryota; Metazoa; Arthropoda; Insecta; Hemiptera; Cicadellidae. The transcript is spliced from 3 exons. The record is from RefSeq and is a predicted model, not a curated record.